UACGUAGGAUGCAAGCGUUAUCCGGAUUUAUUGGGUUUAAAGGGUGCGUAGGCGGCUUUAUAAGUCGUGGGUGAAAGUCAGACGCUUAACGUCUGGAUUGCCUGCGAUACUGUGAGGCUUGGAUUCGGCGGAGGUAAUUGGAAUGGCUGAUGUAGCGGUGAAAUGCAUAGAUAUCAGCUGGAACGCCCAUUGCGAAGGCAGAUUACUGUACCGAGAUUGACGCUGAGGCACGAAAGCAUGGGGAGCAAACAGG
This 253-nucleotide ribosomal RNA is filed under the name uncultured bacterium. RNAcentral describes it as "partial 16S ribosomal RNA". It matches the Rfam family "Bacterial small subunit ribosomal RNA", at positions 524 to 776 of the family's 1533-position model. The record is from RNAcentral.